GAUGAACGCUGGCGGCGUGCUUAACACAUGCAAGUCGAGCGAGAAGUUUUGAAAAGAUUCUUCGGAUGAAAUUUAAAAUGGAAAGCGGCGGACGGGUGAGUAACGCGUAGGCAACCUGCCCCAUACAAAGGGAUAGCAUUUGGAAACGAAUAUUAAUACCUUAUGAAACUUAACUAGUGCAUGCUAGGUAGGUCAAAGAUUUAUCGGUUUGGGAUGGGCCUGCGUCUGAUUAGCUAGUUGGUGAGGUAAAGGCUCACCAAGGCGCCGAUCGGUAGCCGACCUGAGAGGAUGAUCAGCCACACGGGGACAGAGACAAGUCCAAGACUCCUGCGGGAGGCAGCAGUGGGGAAUAUUGGACAAUGGGCGAAAGCCUGAUCCAGCAAUGCCGCGUGAGGGAUGAAGGCCUUAGGGUUGUAAAGCUCUUUUACCCCGGAUGAUAAUGACAGCACCGGGAGAAUAAGCUCCGGCGAACUCCGUG
RNAcentral lists this ribosomal RNA (478 nucleotides) under uncultured bacterium. RNAcentral's name for it is "partial 16S ribosomal RNA". It matches the Rfam family "Bacterial small subunit ribosomal RNA", at positions 28 to 507 of the family's 1533-position model. The record is from RNAcentral.